This 253-nucleotide ribosomal RNA is filed under the name uncultured prokaryote. Its description in RNAcentral is "partial 16S ribosomal RNA". It matches the Rfam family "Bacterial small subunit ribosomal RNA", at positions 524 to 776 of the family's 1533-position model. The record is from RNAcentral.
UACGGGGGGGGCAAGCGUUGUUCGGAAUUACUGGGCGUAAAGGGCCCGUAGGCGGCCAACUAAGUCGGACGUGAAAUCCCCAGGCUCAACCUGGGAACUGCAUUCGAUACUGCGUGGCUAGAGUGCUGGAGAGGAGACUGGAAUUUACGGUGUAGCAGUGAAAUGCGUAGAUAUCGUAAGGAAGACCAGUGGCGAAGGCGAGUCUCUGGACAGCAACUGACGCUGAGGCACGAAGGCCAGGGGAGCAAACGGG